This 363-nucleotide ribosomal RNA is filed under the name Deosergestes corniculum. Its description in RNAcentral is "partial large subunit ribosomal RNA". It matches the Rfam family "Bacterial large subunit ribosomal RNA", at positions 1972 to 2531 of the family's 2925-position model. The record is from RNAcentral. Lineage: Eukaryota; Metazoa; Arthropoda; Malacostraca; Decapoda; Sergestidae.
UCUUUUAAUUGAAGGCUCGUAUGAAUGGUCGGACAAAAAGUAAGCUGUCUUCAAUUAUAAAAAUUGAAUUUGACUUUUAAGUGAAAAGGCUUAAAUAUAACAAAGUGACGAUAAGACCCUAUAAAGCUUUAUAGUGUAGUUUUUUAUUAUAAAUUAUUAAAUUGUAUAACUUAAUUUAAAAUAAAGCUUUUUCGUUGGGGCGACGAAAAUAUAAUUAAAAUAACUGUUUUUGUUUUUAUAACAAAUAUAUUUGGUUUAAAUAAAUGAUCCUUUAUUAGAGAUUAAAAGAUUAAGUUACUUUAGGGAUAACAGCGUAAUCUUCUUUGAGAGUUCAUAUCGACAAGAAGGGUUGCGACCUCGAUG